RNAcentral lists this ribosomal RNA (484 nucleotides) under uncultured bacterium. RNAcentral describes it as "partial 16S ribosomal RNA". It matches the Rfam family "Bacterial small subunit ribosomal RNA", at positions 29 to 507 of the family's 1533-position model. The record is from RNAcentral.
AUUGAACGCUGGCGGCAUGCUUUACACAUGCAAGUCGAACGGCAGCGCGGGCUUCGGCCUGGCGGCGAGUGGCGAACGGGGGAGUAAUGCAUGGGAACGUGCCCCGUAGUGGGGGAUGGCACGGCGAAAGCAGGAUUAAUACCGCAUACGAACUGAGGGUGAAAGAGGGGGACCGAAAGGCAUAGCGCGAUUGGAGCGGCCGAUGUCGGAUUAGCUAGUUGGUGGGGUAAAGGCUUACCAAGGCGACGAUCCGUAGCCGGUCUGAGAGGGUGACCAGCCACACUGGAACUGAGACACGGUCCAGACUCCUACGGGAGGCAGCAGUAGGGAAUUUUCGGCAAUGGGCGCAAGCCUGACCCAGCCAUGCCGCGUGCGUGAAGAAGGCCUUCGGAUCGUAAAACUCUUUUGUUCGGGAAGAACAUCUCUGGAAUAAUCCCCCGACGGCAUGACGGUACCGGAUCAAUAAGCAACGGCUAACUACGUG